Molecule: ribosomal RNA, 483 nt
Filed under: uncultured bacterium
Lineage: Bacteria
Description: partial 16S ribosomal RNA
Rfam family: Bacterial small subunit ribosomal RNA
Source: RNAcentral
AUUGAACGCUGGCGGCAGGCCUAACACAUGCAAGUCGAGCGGAUGAGGGGAGCUUGCUCCUGGAUUCAGCGGCGGACGGGUGAGUAAUGCCUAGGAAUCUGCCUGGUAGUGGGGGAUAACGUCCGGAAACGGGCGCUAAUACCGCAUACGUCCUGAGGGAGAAAGUGGGGGAUCUUCGGACCUCACGCUAUCAGAUGAGCCUAGGUCGGAUUAGCUAGUUGGUGGGGUAAAGGCCUACCAAGGCGACGAUCCGUAACUGGUCUGAGAGGAUGAUCAGUCACACUGGAACUGAGACACGGUCCAGACUCCUACGGGAGGCAGCAGUGGGGAAUAUUGGACAAUGGGCGAAAGCCUGAUCCAGCCAUGCCGCGUGUGUGAAGAAGGUCUUCGGAUUGUAAAGCACUUUAAGUUGGGAGGAAGGGCAGUAAGUUAAUACCUUGCUGUUUUGACGUUACCAACAGAAUAAGCACCGGCUAACUUCGU